RNAcentral lists this ribosomal RNA (392 nucleotides) under uncultured Methanosaeta sp. Its description in RNAcentral is "bacterial SSU rRNA". It matches the Rfam family "Archaeal small subunit ribosomal RNA", at positions 946 to 1338 of the family's 1478-position model. Lineage: Archaea; Methanobacteriati; Methanobacteriota; Methanomicrobia; Methanotrichales; Methanotrichaceae. The record is from RNAcentral.
UAUGAAGGUCAGGCUGAAGACCUUACCCGAUUAGCUGAGAGGUGGUGCAUGGCCGUCGUCAGUUUCGUACUGUGAAGCAUCCUGUUAAGUCAGGCAACGAGCGAGACCCACGUCCACAGUUGCCAGCAUACCCUCCGGGGUGAUGGGUACACUGUGGAGGACGCCGCUGCUAAAGCGGAGGAAGGAGUGGGCAACGGUAGGUCAGUAUGCCCCGAAUCUCCCGGGCUACACGCGGGCUACAAUGGUUGGUACAAUGGGCAUCUACCCGAAAGGGGAAGGAAAUCUCUUAAAGCCAAUCGUAGUUCGGAUUGAGGGCUGCAACUCGCCCUCAUGAAGCUGGAAUCCGUAGUAAUCGCGUUUCAACAGAACGCGGUAAAUACGUCCUGCUCCUU